GAUGAACGCUGGCGGCGUGCCUAAUACAUGCAAGUCGAGCGAACGGACGAGAAGCUUGCUUCUCUGAUGUUAGCGGCGGACGGGUGAGUAACACGUGGAUAACCUACCUAUAAGACUGGGAUAACUUCGGGAAACCGGAGCUAAUACCGGAUGAUAUUUUGAACCGCAUGGUUCAAAAGUGAAAGACGGUCUUGCUGUCACUUAUAGAUGGAUCCGCGCUGCAUUAGCUGGUGGGUGAGGUAACGGCUUACCAAGGCACCGAGGCAUCGCCGGCCUGCGAGGGGGGUCGGCGACACUGGAACGGAGACACGGUCGAGACUCCUACGGGAGGCAGCAGUAGGGAAUCUUCCGCAAUGGGCGAAAGCCUGACGGAGCAACGCCGCGUGAGUGAUGAAGGUCUUCGGAUCGUAAAACUCUGUUAUUAGGGAAGAACAUAUGUGUAAGUAACUGUGCACAUCUUGACGGUACCUAAUCAGAAAGCCACGGCUAACUACGUG
RNAcentral lists this ribosomal RNA (497 nucleotides) under uncultured bacterium. RNAcentral describes it as "partial 16S ribosomal RNA". It matches the Rfam family "Bacterial small subunit ribosomal RNA", at positions 28 to 507 of the family's 1533-position model. The record is from RNAcentral.